Molecule: ribosomal RNA, 1346 nt
Filed under: Escherichia coli
Lineage: Bacteria; Pseudomonadati; Pseudomonadota; Gammaproteobacteria; Enterobacterales; Enterobacteriaceae
Description: partial 23S ribosomal RNA
Rfam family: Bacterial large subunit ribosomal RNA
Source: RNAcentral
CCUGCUUCCAGGAAAAGCCUCUAAGCAUCAGGUAACAUCAAAUCGUACCCCAAACCGACACAGGUGGUCAGGUAGAGAAUACCAAGGCGCUUGAGAGAACUCGGGUGAAGGAACUAGGCAAAAUGGUGCCGUAACUUCGGGAGAAGGCACGCUGAUAUGUAGGUGAAGUCCCUCGCGGAUGGAGCUGAAAUCAGUCGAAGAUACCAGCUGGCUGCAACUGUUUAUUAAAAACACAGCACUGUGCAAACACGAAAGUGGACGUAUACGGUGUGACGCCUGCCCGGUGCCGGAAGGUUAAUUGAUGGGGUUAGCGCAAGCGAAGCUCUUGAUCGAAGCCCCGGUAAACGGCGGCCGUAACUAUAACGGUCCUAAGGUAGCGAAAUUCCUUGUCGGGUAAGUUCCGACCUGCACGAAUGGCGUAAUGAUGGCCAGGCUGUCUCCACCCGAGACUCAGUGAAAUUGAACUCGCUGUGAAGAUGCAGUGUACCCGCGGCAAGACGGAAAGACCCCGUGAACCUUUACUAUAGCUUGACACUGAACAUUGAGCCUUGAUGUGUAGGAUAGGUGGGAGGCUUUGAAGUGUGGACGCCAGUCUGCAUGGAGCCGACCUUGAAAUACCACCCUUUAAUGUUUGAUGUUCUAACGUUGACCCGUAAUCCGGGUUGCGGACAGUGUCUGGUGGGUAGUUUGACUGGGGCGGUCUCCUCCUAAAGAGUAACGGAGGAGCACGAAGGUUGGCUAAUCCUGGUCGGACAUCAGGAGGUUAGUGCAAUGGCAUAAGCCAGCUUGACUGCGAGCGUGACGGCGCGAGCAGGUGCGAAAGCAGGUCAUAGUGAUCCGGUGGUUCUGAAUGGAAGGGCCAUCGCUCAACGGAUAAAAGGUACUCCGGGGAUAACAGGCUGAUACCGCCCAAGAGUUCAUAUCGACGGCGGUGUUUGGCACCUCGAUGUCGGCUCAUCACAUCCUGGGGCUGAAGUAGGUCCCAAGGGUAUGGCUGUUCGCCAUUUAAAGUGGUACGCGAGCUGGGUUUAGAACGUCGUGAGACAGUUCGGUCCCUAUCUGCCGUGGGCGCUGGAGAACUGAGGGGGGCUGCUCCUAGUACGAGAGGACCGGAGUGGACGCAUCACUGGUGUUCGGGUUGUCAUGCCAAUGGCACUGCCCGGUAGCUAAAUGCGGAAGAGAUAAGUGCUGAAAGCAUCUAAGCACGAAACUUGCCCCGAGAUGAGUUCUCCCUGACUCCUUGAGAGUCCUGAAGGAACGUUGAAGACGACGACGUUGAUAGGCCGGGUGUGUAAGCGCAGCGAUGCGUUGAGCUAACCGGUACUAAUGAACCGUGAGGCUUAACC